UGGCCUUUCUCUCUCAUAUAUACUUUUCUCUUUCUACAUAUUUAGUGGACUAGCGAUGGGUCCAAAGAUGUUUUGUGGGUUUGGGUCAAUGCUAGGAGCCAUUCCAAACUAGUGUUGUGUGAUCAGAGAUCUCAGGCUAGCAUCGUACAACCAUCUAUCCUAUAUUCGAUAAUUUUUCAUCAUGAAUCCUGAAUGUUUACAAUUG
This 205-nucleotide long non-coding RNA is filed under the name Elaeis guineensis (African oil palm). RNAcentral's name for it is "long non-coding RNA (EGUI_LNC024654)". The record is from RNAcentral. Lineage: Eukaryota; Viridiplantae; Streptophyta; Magnoliopsida; Arecales; Arecaceae.